AGUCAAGUGGCUUAGUGGUAAGGCGCUCGGGUAGCCAACUCGAGGGUCUAGGGUUCGAAUCCCCCACUUGACAA
Xylariaceae sp. FL1272 is the source of this 74-nucleotide non-coding RNA. Lineage: Eukaryota; Fungi; Ascomycota; Sordariomycetes; Xylariales; Xylariaceae. The record is from the annotation of a GenBank genome assembly.